GGAUGUGAGGGUGAUCUGAUUACAACAUCUGUCACCACAUUGGAAGCCAGGGUGGAUUUGGCUGAUCUAGCUGGCUAGGUGGUGUCCACUUCCUCGCUCACCGCUCCCUGUGCAUUCCUCCCAAAGCUGCGUGCUCAAGAGGACAACCUUGCCUGCUAGAGGAGGACUGGUCUUCUGUCAAGGGUAUACGAGUAGCCGCGCUCCGCUGCUAGAACCUCCAAACAAGCUCUCAACUGUUUAAAUUCCUGCCACCCUCACAGGGUGGAUGGAGUUCCUGACUCCUUUCUUUGGCCUAGCCUGGCUGUCACAGGCA
This 313-nucleotide small nuclear RNA is filed under the name Oryctolagus cuniculus (rabbit). RNAcentral's name for it is "7SK RNA". It matches the Rfam family "7SK RNA", at positions 1 to 261 of the family's 331-position model. From Rfam's summary of the family: 7SK was discovered as an abundant small nuclear RNA in the mid-70s but a possible function has only recently been suggested. Two independent studies have found that 7SK RNA binds the CDK9/cyclin T complex (known as elongation factor P-TEFb). The record is from Rfam by way of RNAcentral. Lineage: Eukaryota; Metazoa; Chordata; Mammalia; Lagomorpha; Leporidae.